RNAcentral lists this ribosomal RNA (501 nucleotides) under uncultured bacterium. RNAcentral's name for it is "partial 16S ribosomal RNA". It matches the Rfam family "Bacterial small subunit ribosomal RNA", at positions 30 to 523 of the family's 1533-position model. The record is from RNAcentral.
AUUGAACGCUGGCGGCAGGCUUAACACAUGCAAGUCGAGCGGGGGAAGGUAGCUUGCUACCGGACCUAGCGGCGGACGGGUGAGUAAUGCUUAGGAAUCUGCCUAUUAGUGGGGGACAACAUCUCGAAAGGGAUGCUAAUACCGCAUACGUCCUACGGGAGAAAGCAGGGGAUCUACGGACCUUGCGCUAAUAGAUGAGCCUAAGUCGGAUUAGCUAGUUGGUGGGGUAAAGGCCUACCAAGGCGACGAUCUGUAGCGGGUCUGAGAGGAUGAUCCGCCACACUGGGACUGAGACACGGCCCGGACUCCUACGGGAGGCAGCAGUGGGGAAUAUUGGACAAUGGGUGGACCCCUGAUCCAGCCAUGCCGCGUGUGUGAAGAAGGCCUUAUGGUUGUAAAGCACUUUAAGCGAGGAGGAGGCUACUUUAGUUAAUACCUAGAGAUAGUGGACGUUACUCGCAGAAUAAGCACCGGCUAACUCUGUGCCAGCAGCCGCAGUAA